GACGAACGCUGGCGGCGUGCUUAACACAUGCAAGUCGAACGGAAAGGCCCUGCUUUUGUGGGGUGCUCGAGUGGCGAACGGGUGAGUAACACGUGAGUAACCUGCCCUUGACUUUGGGAUAACUUCAGGAAACUGGGGCUAAUACCGGAUAGGAGCUCCUGCUGCAUGUUGGGGGUUGGAAAGUUUCGGCGGUUGGGGAUGGACUCGCGGCUUAUCAGCUUGUUGGUGGGGUAGUGGCUUACCAAGGCUUUGACGGGUAGCCGGCCUGAGAGGGUGACCGGCCACAUUGGGACUGAGAUACGGCCCAGACUCCUACGGGAGGCAGCAGUGGGGAAUAUUGCACAAUGGGCGGAAGCCUGAUGCAGCAACGCCGCGUGCGGGAUGACGGCCUUCGGGUUGUAAACCGCUUUCGCCUGUGACGAAGCGUGAGUGAAGGUAAUGGGUAAAGAAGCACCGGCUAACUACGUG
RNAcentral lists this ribosomal RNA (468 nucleotides) under uncultured bacterium. Its description in RNAcentral is "partial 16S ribosomal RNA". It matches the Rfam family "Bacterial small subunit ribosomal RNA", at positions 28 to 507 of the family's 1533-position model. The record is from RNAcentral.